AUUGAACGCUGGAGGCAGGCCUAACACAUGCAAGUCGAGCGGAGCGGCGGACGGGUGAGUAAUGCCUAGGAAUCUGCCUGGUAGUGGGGGAUAACGUCCGGCAACGGGCGCUAAUACCGCAUACUAUCAGAUGAGCCUAGGUCGGAUUAGCUAGUGGGGGGGGUAAAGGCCUACCAAGGCGACGAUCCGUAACUGGUCUGAGAGGAUGAUCAGUCAAACUGGAACUGCGACAGGGUCCAGACGCCAACGGUAGGCAGCAGUGGGGAAUAUUGGCCAAUGGGCGCAAGCCUGAUCCAGCCAUGCCGCGUGUGUGAAGAAGUUCUUCGGAUUGUAAAGAACUUUAAGUUGGGAGGCGUGCCCAACAGAAUAAGCACCGGCUAACUUCGUGCCAGCAGCCGCGGUAAUAC
Molecule: ribosomal RNA, 407 nt
Filed under: uncultured bacterium
Lineage: Bacteria
Description: partial 16S ribosomal RNA
Rfam family: Bacterial small subunit ribosomal RNA
Source: RNAcentral